UAUAUUCUUAGCAAAUAUAUGAAUUAACUUUUUUCAUAAUUUAAAACAGAAGUAUUGAAAGGAUGGCGUGUAUUGUUACAUAGUUGGUGGAUCAAACGACUUAUAUAAUUUAUUUAUAUUGGGUGAAAUGAGUCAUUUAUUAAUUAUGAGACUAAUGAGACAUGUUUAGAGAAUAAUAUAAUAAAGUAUAUGUGGUACAUUAUUUUUGUGUAGCAAAUGGUACGGUCAUCUAAUAAAGGAUAGCAUAUAUGUCGUAUAACUUUGUUCUUGUACAAAAUAAUGUGGUCUAAUAAAUAAAUGUAUUAUUAAAUGUUUGUUAGAG
RNAcentral lists this long non-coding RNA (322 nucleotides) under Brassica rapa (field mustard). Its description in RNAcentral is "long non-coding RNA (BRAP_LNC003493)". Lineage: Eukaryota; Viridiplantae; Streptophyta; Magnoliopsida; Brassicales; Brassicaceae. The record is from RNAcentral.